UUCAAUAACAGGAGAGGAGAGAGAGUGCUUUGUUUUCAAGCCUUAAAUAAAAUGUUCCAUCAAAAGUCUUUUAAAAUGCUCUGCUAACCUUCAACCUUAGUUAUUACCGUGGGACUCAUGAACAGGCAUGAAGAGGCCAGCUUAUAGUCGUUUUAAUGACAGAAACCCAAGACUUUGCACUUUCAUUUUCUACAACAAAAACAGCUUGAAUCUCAGUGGAAAGAGUCUGCGAUUUAAUGAACGAAGUCUGGCCAUUAAGGCUUGAACAGUUACCAGGAAGAGUCCCACAUGACUGUUGGAAACAUGAAAAUGAAAAGAUGUUGAGCAGCUGCCUCUAAAAAAAGGGCGGAAGUAUAGACUGAUCAGCCAGGGGCUUGAUCCUUCUCUCACAACUGUAUAGAGUGGUGGUAACUCAAUGGGCUUUAAUGUAGUUACUCUGACACAACUGGUAUAAAUGAGAAGAAAAUGAGGCCCUGAAAUUCUGUAGACCUGGAAUUUAUUUCCAACUCUGCCACUAAUUUAUGCAAUUUUGACAAAUGCUUAUUGGCAGACAUGAAGACUGAAGUCCUCUAUUUAUCAACUGAACAAGUAUAGCACUGGAAUCAGGAAUGCAGAAACCGCCAUCUUUGAGUUUCAACCCUGACUGUGACCUGACCAGCUCUAGGAUAAUCAGCUGAACAAGAGCUAUCAGUGUGAUGCUGUGGCCAAAAGGACUCAUAAGGGGCAAGGCUGGGGAGGAAAGCAGACCUACCCUGAGGACCCUUGAACAAGGAUGCCAAAGAAGCCUUACUGUGAGGAAGAAGACUGUCUGCUGAUCAUAGUUGGGGCUGAAGGUUUAGUUGUCUUCUCUUUUCUUUUGCUAUCUUAUAUUGGACUUAAAGACUUUUGGGGAGACAGAUGGUAAGAAUUGAUCUACACUGGCAUCUCUGAAACAAUCUAGAGUGCCUAAUAUUAUUGACCCUCGGAGGGCCCUAGUUCAGAGCCCGAUGGAGUGGGAUGGCCCAGGCUCCCAUACCAACUGCCUUUGUUGCAAGAGGGGCAUAAACCUCAUUUUUACUCCACCUCCACCUCUAGUAAGGAGAGCGUAAGGACACUGAAAAUGCUGAGGUGAGGAUAAGCCACAUAUAAGUAUUAGGAACUAGACUGAAGGCCCUGCUGGGAGGCAAGAAACUGAAAACCAGGUAUGCUAACCACUAGGCCACCUAGCCUUCCAACUAUUCUACUAGAGAUGCAUAAAUGGAGGGAAUCUCAAGUAGGAGUAGAGAGGUCAUUUUACCACUGAUGCAGCUGCUGCUGGAAUACUCUGUCCAGUUCUAGUGUCCACAAAUCAAGAAGGAUAUUGAUAAAUUGGAGAGGGUUCAGAGAAGACCUAUAAGAAUGAUUUAAGGAUUAGAAUAUAUGUCUUGUAGUGAUAGAUUCAAGGAGAUUAAUCUAUUUAGCUUAACAAAGAGAAGUUUAAAGGGUGAUUUGAUUACAGUCUGUAAGAAACUAUAUGGGGAACAAAUACUUGACAGUGGGCUCUUAAAUCUAGCAGAGAUGGGUAUAACAUGAGUCUAUGGCUGGAAGUUGGAGCUAGACAAAUUCAGAUGGAAAUAAGGCAUACCUUUUUAACAGUGAGGGCAAUUAACCCUUGGAAUAAUUUGCCAAGGGUCAUGGUGGAUUCUCCAUUACUGGCAAUUUU
Chrysemys picta bellii (western painted turtle) is the source of this 1681-nucleotide non-coding RNA. The record is from RefSeq and is a predicted model, not a curated record. NCBI's taxonomy places the organism in Eukaryota, Metazoa, Chordata, Testudines, Emydidae.